This 253-nucleotide ribosomal RNA is filed under the name uncultured bacterium. Its description in RNAcentral is "partial 16S ribosomal RNA". It matches the Rfam family "Bacterial small subunit ribosomal RNA", at positions 524 to 776 of the family's 1533-position model. The record is from RNAcentral.
UACAGAGGGGGCAAGCGUUGUUCGGAAUUACUGGGCGUAAAGGGCGCGUAGGCGGCCUGCUAAGUCGGACGUGAAAUCCCUGGGCUCAACCCAGGAACUGCGUCCGAUACUGGUUGGCUUGAAUCCGGGAGAGGGAUGUGGAAUUCCAGGUGUAGCGGUGAAAUGCGUAGAUAUCUGGAGGAACACCGGUGGCGAAGGCGACAUCCUGGACCGGUAUUGACGCUGAGGCGCGAAAGCCAGGGGAGCAAACAGG